RNAcentral lists this small nuclear RNA (312 nucleotides) under Sorex araneus (European shrew). Its description in RNAcentral is "7SK RNA (ENSSARG00000017698.1)". It matches the Rfam family "7SK RNA". From Rfam's summary of the family: 7SK was discovered as an abundant small nuclear RNA in the mid-70s but a possible function has only recently been suggested. Two independent studies have found that 7SK RNA binds the CDK9/cyclin T complex (known as elongation factor P-TEFb). Lineage: Eukaryota; Metazoa; Chordata; Mammalia; Eulipotyphla; Soricidae. The record is from RNAcentral.
GAAUGUGAGGGAAUCUGGCUGCAACAUCUGUCAACCCACUGGCUGCCAGAGACAAUUCGGCUGGCUAGACUGUGGCAUCUCUUUCUCCCUCACCUCCCCAUGGGCUUUCUUCCAGAAGCUUGGCACUCUGAGGAAGAGGACGGCCUUACUCUAAGAGACAAGGACGCUUCUUUGUUCCAGGGUAUAUGAGUAGCCUAGCUCCCCUGCUAGAAUCUCCAAAGCAGAUCUCAGGAGAAAUUUUCCUGUUUAAUUUAGAGCAGAAGUUGAAUUUAGUUAUCUGUUUCAAUAAAUCAGGUGAUGGAGAAAAUAAUU